RNAcentral lists this transfer RNA (68 nucleotides) under Ophiodes striatus. RNAcentral's name for it is "tRNA-Trp". Lineage: Eukaryota; Metazoa; Chordata; Lepidosauria; Squamata; Diploglossidae. The record is from RNAcentral.
AGAAACUUAAGUUAACAAAACUAAGGACCUUCAAAGCCCUAAAUAGGAUACAACCAACCUAGUUUCUG